GCUUUCGUGGUUUAGUGAUCAACACACUCGGCGCGUAUUCGAGAGGUCCGUGGUUCGAGUCCCGGCGGGGGCA
This is a non-coding RNA of Stegodyphus mimosarum, 73 nucleotides long. The record is from Rfam. Lineage: Eukaryota; Metazoa; Arthropoda; Arachnida; Araneae; Eresidae.